Paramisgurnus dabryanus is the source of this 1872-nucleotide long non-coding RNA. RefSeq lists it as uncharacterized. Lineage: Eukaryota; Metazoa; Chordata; Actinopteri; Cypriniformes; Cobitidae. The record is from RefSeq and is a predicted model, not a curated record.
CACAGUAAAGCAGAGAGAAAAAGCGUGGCAAAGUAUUGCAGACCGCCUGAAUGGGUAAGUAGUGCACAAUUACACACUCACCGCUCCGCUGAAACAUCACAAUUACAAUUAAAAGAUUUAAUUCACAUCUCCAAAAACGCAAUUGUACUCUGAUUAUAAAACAGUUAAUUUUUUUAUUGAAAUAGACUGCAAAUAUGAGUGAAAUUGUGUAAAGUAACUCCAUCACACUGGAUAAGGCUUCAAUAAAUUAUUAUGAAAGCCUUACAUUAUUACUACGCUCAUUAUGUACUCUGCUUCUUAUGUUGUACACCGUUUUUUUUUUCUUUUUCUUUUUUUUUCUGCUUUUAUUAAUGUAAAGCUGCUUUGAAACAAUGAAACAAUUGUGAAAAGCGCUUUAUAAAUAAAAUUCAAUUUAAUAAAUAGAGGAGCUAUUAAUAAUAAUCAAUUUAAUUUAUAAAGCGCCUUUCAAAGGACCCAAGGUCACUUGCUCCUUGCACUGCCAAAAAAUGACUUUCUACGUGUUUUUGUCUUGUUUUCAGUACAAAUAUCAAAACAUUCUUAAAUUAAGAUGUAUUAAAAGUUUUCUUGAAAUAUACUUUUUCAUAAACACUUAAUUUAAAACAUUUUUUUAUUCCAUUGGCUGAUAUUUUUGCUUAUUUUCCUAGGUCAUUUUGCUCAUCAAGAAAAUGCAUCUUAAUUCAAGAAUUUUUGAUAUUUUUACUGAAAACAAGACAACAAUACAAAGUAAGUCAUUUUUUGCAGUGUGACUCCAUUGAAUGUUCUUGUGUGUUAAAGAAAGUCUCUCUUUUUGUGUGUGGUGUUGUGUGAUGUAGAUUAAAUAUGACCGGGCCAAAACGGACAUGGCAGCAGGUCAAAAUCAAAAUCUGCAGAAUGCAGUGAAAAAGAAUACCUAGAGACAAGGCACGGGUGGUGGGUCACCAAAAGCUGACCUCAUCCCAGCAGAGGCCAGCUUUGGAGUUAAAUAAAGGCAGGCCUGUUGGAGGGAAUCCCUGGGGGAAAAGAGACAAGCAUAGGUCCCUCACAAGAUGCCACCCGCUUCAUACAAGUGUCUGGCAGCACUGUGUUACUGUUAAAGCCACCAGCACGAGCACCAGACGAUGCUGAUCCAGUGAGUACUCCAUCAAAGGCAUACUGUAGGCCUGGCACGUCUUGUCUACUAGCUUCAAUAUGAAUCCGAUUAAAUGUGAUGGGGUCAAGGCCCCAUUUCAUCAGCACAUAACAGCGAUGAUGAUGAGGAGACCAUCUCGCUGGAUUCCAAAAGGCAUAAGGACCCAGAGUCAUUGGUGCACUGGACUGCACAAACAUAAGGAUAAAAGCCCCCUCAGGUGCCCAUGAGGCAGAUUUUGUAAAUAUGAAAUCUUUUUACAGCAUUAAUGUUCAGGUGAACAUAACUUUUUUAUCUUUUCCAUUGAACACUGGCAAAAUGGCCUGGCUCAGUCCAUGACUCCCGAAUCUUUUGGACCUCUGAAAUCUAUCAGCUCCUAUCACAAGGUGAAUUCUCUGGUGUGUUGCUGGUAGACAGGGGGUAAGGCUGCCAGCCGUUUUUCCUGACACCUUUCACAGACCCCCAGGAAGCACAGCAGGCCUACAACUAUGCCCAUGCUAGGGCCAGAGUUGAAAUGACCUUUGGCCUCCUGAAGGCACGCUCUCACUGCCUUCACAAAUUAAGGGUCAGCCCUGUGAGGGCAUGUGACAUUACUGUGGCUUGUGGUGUCCUCCACAAUGUGGCCUGCCUGAGGAAGGAGAGGGCACCCAGAGUGCCGCCAGCCAUGGACUGGGACAAUCCGGAAAUCUUCUCUGAUGACAACAGUGGUCGGCUGCUGAGGGACCAAUAUGUGUUGAAUUAUUUUA